GGGGGCGAAGCGAUUCGACAGAAAAGAGAUAAAAGAGGCAGCAUGCCGAGUUUGAGGAAAGGCUCGUAAAAAAUCCUCAAAAAACAACUGCCGAAACGGCAAAUUACCUUCCUGCCUAAUUAGGCAGGAACCCUAUAUGGUCCUUGUCUGUGGGGCCAUAAAUGGGUCGGAUAACAGACUGGUUCUACCCUAUCCGGUCUUGUAGGGUAGAAUGAGAUCAAAAGACCUGCUCUUCCAGAGAUUCUGUUCCUGGAAGUUCUGGAAGAAAAGCCAAAACAGGAACUAAGCAUGAAGAGACCUCUUUUGUGAUCUUUUCUGGACCCGGGCUCACUACCCGGCGCCUCCACUG
RNAcentral lists this transfer-messenger RNA (349 nucleotides) under Candidatus Omnitrophota bacterium. It matches the Rfam family "transfer-messenger RNA". From Rfam's summary of the family: Bacterial tmRNA, also known as 10Sa RNA or SsrA, is named for its dual tRNA and mRNA-like properties. Its role is to liberate the mRNA from a stalled ribosome. To accomplish this part of the tmRNA is used as a reading frame that ends in a translation stop signal. The record is from RNAcentral. Lineage: Bacteria; Pseudomonadati; Candidatus Omnitrophota.